GUGAAUCAUCGAAUUUUUGAACGCAAAUUGCACUCUCCUCUAAUAGGAUGCCUGUUUGAGGUUCAGCCUAUAAAAAAUCGACAUCUUUGCUGUUUCUCGGUUGCUUUCGUCGUAGAUGGGAGCAUCUUACUUCUUUUGGUUUUAAGCGACUUAAAAUUUUCUUUUUGGUUCCGUGAACGUUUCUAAGAUUUAUUUCGUUACACGUUUAUGUUAUCGAUUUUUACGAGUCUUGACCAUCAUAUCGGAUCACGUCCAUA
RNAcentral lists this unclassified non-coding RNA (257 nucleotides) under Glomus sp. RNAcentral's name for it is "partial internal transcribed spacer 2". The record is from RNAcentral. Lineage: Eukaryota; Fungi; Glomeromycota; Glomeromycetes; Glomerales; Glomeraceae.